UGGGGAAUAUUGGCCAAUGGGGGCAACCCUGAUCCAGCAAUGCCGCGUGUGUGAAGAAGGCCUGCGGGUUGUAAAGCACUUUCAGUAGAGAAGAAAAGCCUAGGGUUAAUACCCCGGGGUCUUGAGGUAACGUACAGAAGAAGCUCCGGCUAAUUCCGUGCCAGCAGCCGCGGUAAUACGGAGGGACCGAGCGUUAUUGGGAAUUCUUGGGGGUAAAGCGCGGGUAGGCGCCUUUGUAAUUCGGAUGUGAAAGCCUCGGGUUCACCCUGGGAAUUCCUCUGGAUAGUCCGGAGCUAGAGUAUGGUAGAGGGAAGUGGAAUUUCCGGUGUAGCGGUGAAAUGGGUAGAUAUCGGAAGGACCCCCAGUGGGGAAGGGGACUUCCUGGGCCAAUACUGACGUUGAGGUGGGAAAGCGUGGGGAGCAACCAGGAUUAGAUACCUGGGUAGUCCACGCGGUAAACGAUGAGAACUAGAUGUUGGGGGAAAUCUCCUUCAGUGUCGCAGCUAACGCGUUAAGUUCUCCGCCUGGGGAGUACGCCGGCAACAGUA
Molecule: ribosomal RNA, 548 nt
Filed under: uncultured bacterium
Lineage: Bacteria
Description: bacterial SSU rRNA
Rfam family: Bacterial small subunit ribosomal RNA
Source: RNAcentral